UACAGAGGUGGCAAGCGUUGUUCGGAAUUACUGGGCGUAAAGGGCGCGUAGGCGGCCCGUCAAGUCCCGUGUGAAAGCCCCCGGCUCAACCGGGGAACGGCGCGGGAAACUAGCAGGCUUGAGUUCGGGAGAGGGAAGCGGAAUUCCGGGUGUAGUGGUGGAAUGCGUAGAGAUCCGGAGGAACACCAGCGGCGAAGGCGGCAUCCUGGACUGGUCCUGACACUCAGGAGCGAAAGCGUGGGGAGCGAUCCGG
This 253-nucleotide ribosomal RNA is filed under the name uncultured bacterium. RNAcentral's name for it is "partial 16S ribosomal RNA". It matches the Rfam family "Bacterial small subunit ribosomal RNA", at positions 524 to 776 of the family's 1533-position model. The record is from RNAcentral.